GAUGAAGAACGUAGCGAAAUGCGAUACUUGGUGUGAAUUGCAGAAUCCCGUGAACCAUCGAGUCUUUGAACGCAAGUUGCGCCUCAAGCCAUUAGGUUGAGGGCACGUCUGCCUGGGCGUCACAUAUCGUUGCCUGAUGCCAGUUUCCUCGUGAUGGGUGACUGUGCAGGGCGAAUGAUGGCUUCCCGUGAGCAUUGUUGCCUCAUGGUUGGUUGAAAAUUGAGUCCUUGGUAGGGAGCGCCGUGAUAGAUGGUGGUUGAGUGACGAACGAGACCCAAUCAUGUGAGACCCCUACCGAAUUUGGCCUUCAUGACCCACAUGCGUCUUUGGAACGCUCAUGACCAGACCUCAGGUCAGGCGGGGCUACCCGCUGAGUUUAAGCAUAUCAAUAAGCGGAGGA
Molecule: unclassified non-coding RNA, 400 nt
Filed under: soil metagenome
Description: partial contains 5.8S ribosomal RNA, internal transcribed spacer 2, and large subunit ribosomal RNA
Rfam family: 5.8S ribosomal RNA (bases 1-122)
Source: RNAcentral